GGGGCAGGCAGAUCAGAGGGAGCUGAGGGAGGCCUGACCUGAGGCCGGCACCCGGAGCUGGCGGGAGCCAGACCCAGAGGACCUCCGCCGCUUCUUGCUGUCAGCAGCCUGCCGGAGCUUCCCACAGUGGCUGCCUGGAGGUGGUGGCGGCCAAGUCUCCAGCUGCUCAGAUACUGAUGUCCCCUACCUGCUGUUGGCCGUCAAGUCAGAACCAGGGCGCUUUGCAGAACGACAGGCCGUGAGAGAGACGUGGGGCAGUCCAGCUCCAGGGAUCCGGCUGCUCUUCCUGCUAGGGUCUCCGGUGGGUGAGGCGGGGCCUGACCUAGACUCACUAGUGGCCUGGGAGAGCCGUCGCUACAGUGACCUGCUGCUCUGGGACUUCCUCGACGUCCCAUUCAACCAGACGCUCAAAGACCUGCUGCUGCUGGCCUGGCUGGGCCGCCACUGCCCCACCGUGAGUUUU
This 463-nucleotide small RNA is filed under the name Pan troglodytes (chimpanzee). RNAcentral describes it as "processed transcript". Lineage: Eukaryota; Metazoa; Chordata; Mammalia; Primates; Hominidae. The record is from RNAcentral.